This 460-nucleotide ribosomal RNA is filed under the name uncultured bacterium. RNAcentral's name for it is "partial 16S ribosomal RNA". It matches the Rfam family "Bacterial small subunit ribosomal RNA", at positions 338 to 795 of the family's 1533-position model. The record is from RNAcentral.
CCUACGGGCGGCAGCAGUGAGGAAUAUUGGUCAAUGGACGAGAGUCUGAACCAGCCAAGUAGCGUGAAGGAUGACUGCCCUAUGGGUUGUAAACUUCUUUUAUAAAGGAAUAAAACGAGGCACGUGUGCCUUUUUGCAUGUACUUUAUGAAUAAGGCUCGGCUAACUCCGUGCCAGCAGCCGCGGUAAUACGGAGGAUCCGAGCGUUAUCCGGAUUUAUUGGGUUUAAAGGGAGCGUAGAUGGGUUGUUAAGUCAGUUGUGAAAGUUUGCGGCUCAACCGUAAAAUUGCAAUUGAUACUGGCAGUCUUGAGUACAGUUGAGGUAGGCGGAAUGCGUGGUGUAGCGGUGAAAUGCAUAGAUAUCACGAAGAACCCCGAUUGCGAAGGCAGCUUACUAAACUGUGACUGACAUUGAUGCUCGAAAGUGUGGGUAUCGAACAGGAUUAGAUACCCUUGUAGUC